This 349-nucleotide ribosomal RNA is filed under the name uncultured bacterium. RNAcentral describes it as "bacterial SSU rRNA". It matches the Rfam family "Bacterial small subunit ribosomal RNA", at positions 355 to 696 of the family's 1533-position model. The record is from RNAcentral.
UGGGGAAUUUUGGACAAUGCGGCCAAGCGUAAUCCAGCCCAAUGGGGGAAAGGGAAGAAGGCCUUCGGGUUGUAAAAGGCUUUUGCCUUGGAGGAAAUAAACUCUUUUUAUACAUCAAGAAAAUGACGGUACCUCAAGAAUAAGCACCGGCUAAAUCUGUGCCAGCAGCCGCGGUAAUACGGAGGGUGCAAGCGUUAUUCUGAAUUACUGGGCGUAAAGAGCGCGUAGGCGGUUUUUUAAGUCAGAUGUGAAAUCUCCGGGCUCAACCCCUGAACUGCAUUUGAAACUGCCAACCUAGAGUAUGGGAGAGGGGGAUGGAAUACUGGUGUAGCAGUAAAAUAAGUAGAUA